RNAcentral lists this ribosomal RNA (451 nucleotides) under uncultured bacterium. RNAcentral's name for it is "partial 16S ribosomal RNA". It matches the Rfam family "Bacterial small subunit ribosomal RNA", at positions 354 to 796 of the family's 1533-position model. The record is from RNAcentral.
GUCGAGAAUCAUUCGCAAUGGGCGAAAGCCUGACGGUGCGACGCCGCGUGGAGGAUGAAGGCCCUAGGGUCGUAAACUCCUGUCAUCAGGGAGUAAAGACUCGUGUAGUCACUGACACGGGUCCUGAUAGUACCUGAAGAGGAAGGGACGGCAAACUUCGUGCCAGCAGCCGCGGUAAUACGAAGGUCCCAAGCGUUGUUCGGAUUUACUGGGCGUAAAGAGUCUGUAGGCGGCGGGGUAAGUCAGAUGUGAAAUCCCGGGGCUCAACCCCGGAACUGCAUCCGAUACUGCCUUGCUAGAGUAUUGGAGGGGAGUCUGGAAUUCUCGGUGUAGCAGUGAAAUGCGUAGAUAUCGAGAGGAACACUAGUGGCGAAGGCGAGACUCUGGACAGUUACUGACACUGAGGCACGAAGGCCAGGGGAGCGAACGGGAUUAGAAACCCUGGUAGUCC